AUUGAACGCUGGCGGCAGGCCUAACACAUGCAAGUCGAGCGGAUGAAGGGAGCUUGCUCCUGUAUUCAGCGGCGGACGGGUGAGUAAUGCCUAGGAAUCUGCCUGGUAGUUGGUGAUAACGUCCGUAAACGGGCGCUAAUACCGCAUACGUCCUGAGGGUGAAAGUGGGGGAUCUUCGGACCUCACGCUAUUAGAUGAGCCUAGGUCGGAUUAGCUAGUUGGUGUGGUAAAGGCCUACCAAGGCGACGAUCCGUAACUGGUCUGAGAGGAUGAUCAGUCACAAUGGAACUGAGACACGGUCCAGACUCCUACGGGAGGCAGCAGUGGGGAAUAUUAGAAAAUGGGCGAAAGCCUGAUCCAGCCAUGCCGCGUGAGUGAAGAAGGUCUUCGGAUUGUAAAGCACUUUUAGUUGGGAGGAAGGACAGUAAGUUAAUACCUUGCUGUUUUGACGUUACCAACAGAAUAAGCACCGGCUAACUUCGUG
Molecule: ribosomal RNA, 484 nt
Filed under: uncultured bacterium
Lineage: Bacteria
Description: partial 16S ribosomal RNA
Rfam family: Bacterial small subunit ribosomal RNA
Source: RNAcentral